Molecule: ribosomal RNA, 754 nt
Filed under: Aeromicrobium fastidiosum
Lineage: Bacteria; Bacillati; Actinomycetota; Actinomycetes; Propionibacteriales; Nocardioidaceae
Description: bacterial SSU rRNA
Rfam family: Bacterial small subunit ribosomal RNA
Source: RNAcentral
UAACACGUGAGCAAUCUGCCCUUCUCUUUGGAAUAACCAUUGGAAACGGUGGCUAAUGCCGAAUAUGAACUCCUUUCGCAUGUUGGGGGUUGGAAAGCUUUGGCGGAGAAGGAUGAGCUCGCGGCCUAUCAGCUUGUUGGUGAGGUAAUGGCUCACCAAGGCAUUGACGGGUAGCCGGCCUGAGAGGGUGACCGGCCACACUGGGACUGAGACACGGCCCAGACUCCUACGGGAGGCAGCAGUGGGGAAUAUUGGACAAUGGGCGAAAGCCUGAUCCAGCAACGCCGCGUGAGGGAUGACGGCCUUCGGGUUGUAAACCUCUUUCAGCAGGGACGAAGCGAGAGUGACGGUACCUGCAGAAGAAGGACCGGCCAACUACGUGCCAGCAGCCGCGGUAAUACGUAGGGUCCGAGCGUUGUCCGGAAUUAUUGGGCGUAAAGGGCUCGUAGGCGGUUUGUCGCGUCGGGAGUGAAAACUCAGGGCUCAACCCUGAGCGUGCUUCCGAUACGGGCAGACUAGAGGUAUGCAGGGGAGAACGGAAUUCCUGGUGUAGCGGUGGAAUGCGCAGAUAUCAGGAGGAACACCGGUGGCGAAGGCGGUUCUCUGGGCAUUACCUGACGCUGAGGAGCGAAAGCAUGGGGAGCGAACAGGAUUAGAUACCCUGGUAGUCCAUGCCGUAAACGUUGGGCGCUAGGUGUGGGGACCUUCCACGGUUUCCGUGCCGCAGCUAACGCAUUAAGUCGGUUUACAGGUG